UACCGGCCCCGCGAGUGGUCGGGGUGAUUAUUGGGCCUAAAGCGCCCGUAGCCGGCCCGGUGUGUCCUCCCUUAAACCCCCGGGCUCAACCCGGGGAAUGGGGAGGAUACUACCGGGCUAGGGGGCGGGAGAGGCCGAGGGUACUCCCGGGGUAGGGGCGAAAUCCGUUAAUCCCGGGAGGACCACCCGUGGCGAAGGCGCUCGGCUGGACCGCGCCCGACGGUGAGGGGCGAAAGCCGGGGGAGCGAACCGG
RNAcentral lists this ribosomal RNA (253 nucleotides) under uncultured microorganism. RNAcentral's name for it is "partial 16S ribosomal RNA". It matches the Rfam family "Archaeal small subunit ribosomal RNA", at positions 474 to 727 of the family's 1478-position model. The record is from RNAcentral.